GUGGAGACAGGCUCACAGGAAGACUUCUUAAGAUAGAAGGGAGCAUCUGAGAUGAGCUGGGAAGAAAAAAUCUAAAAGCCAGUUCAGUUUUGAACAUUUUGAAGGUUUUAAGAUGCCAGGUCCAAGUGACAGUGUUCAGCCAGGCCUGGAAUUUGAGGAGAUGGCCUGUAUAGGAGCCCUCAGAACAAGGGUGAUAUUUGAAAACCUGGGAGCAGAUGAAAUCACAGAGGAGUGAGAAUAUCCAGCCCUAGAAGGAGGCAGAGGACUCGUCCUGGGGGUCAUGCUUUCAGAGAAUAAAGUAGUCAUGUACAGAUAUGAGAGUUGGACUAUAAAGAAGACUGAGCACCAAAGAAUUGAUGCUUUUGAACUGGAGAAGACUCUUUAGAGUCCCUUGGACAGCAAGGAGAUGGAACCAGUCAGUCCUAAAGGAAAUCAACCCUGAGUAUUCUUUGGAAGGACUGAUGCUGAAGCUCCAAUACUUUGACAACCUGAUGUGAAGAGCCAACUCAUUGGAAAAGACCCUGAUUCUGGGAAAGACUGAAGGCAAAAGGAGAAGGAGGUGGCAGAGGAUGAGAUGGUUAGAUAGCAUCAUGGACAUGAAUUUGAGAGAACUCUGGGAGAUAGUGAAGGACAGGGAAGCCUGGCAUGCUGUAGUUCAUGGGGUCUCAAAGAGUCAGACAGAACUUAGCGACUGAAAAACAAUGUCUGUGGAUCUUUUACCAUCCAUUUCUUGGCCUCUGGAGACAAUGCAUGUAUUCAAAGUUCUUACAUUGUGGAAAUAUGCUCUGCAUGGGAGAUGCUACGCUCCGUCUCCAAAGUCAGCAUCCUCAGUUCUGUCGAUGUACUCCAUUUCCUAAUACUUGGAUUUCACUUCAAUCCUUUUAUCAUUUUCUCCCUCUUUUUCCAGACAAUCUGGUUAAUCUAUCUCCUCUAGCCCCUGGCACCCAGAGGGCCAGAAGGAACCUAUCCCCUCCUUUUGAACAACAUACUUCUAUUAAUGUAAACUUCAGGUGUGCUAGUCAGACA
This is a long non-coding RNA of Dama dama (fallow deer), 1026 nucleotides long. RefSeq lists it as uncharacterized. The transcript has 3 exons. NCBI's taxonomy places the organism in Eukaryota, Metazoa, Chordata, Mammalia, Artiodactyla, Cervidae. The record is from RefSeq and is a predicted model, not a curated record.